Molecule: non-coding RNA, 71 nt
Filed under: Alexandrium minutum
Lineage: Eukaryota; Dinophyceae; Gonyaulacales; Pyrocystaceae
Source: RNAcentral
CUUUUUUUUUUUUUUUUUUUUUUUUUUUUUUUUUUUUUUUUUUUUUUUUUUUUUGUUUAAUGCACCUUUAA